This 492-nucleotide ribosomal RNA is filed under the name uncultured bacterium. RNAcentral's name for it is "partial 16S ribosomal RNA". It matches the Rfam family "Bacterial small subunit ribosomal RNA", at positions 28 to 507 of the family's 1533-position model. The record is from RNAcentral.
GAUGAACGCUAGCUACAGGCUUAACACAUGCAAGUCGAGGGGCAGCGGUAUCGAAAGCUUGCUUUCGGUAGCCGGCGACCGGCGCACGGGUGAGUAACGCGUAUCGAACCUGCCUCAUACUCGGGAAUAGCCUUGCGAAAGUAAGAUUAAUGCCCGGUGUUUUCAGAGUCCCGCAUGAGGCUUUGAACAAAGAUUUAUCGGUAUGAGAUGGCGAUGCGUCCCAUUAGCUUGUUGGCGGGGUAACGGCCCACCAAGGCAUCGAUGGGUAGGGGUUCUGAGAGGAAGGUCCCCCACAUUGGAACUGAGACACGGUCCAAACUCCUACGGGAGGCAGCAGUGAGGAAUAUUGGUCAAUGGGCGGAAGCCUGAACCAGCCAAGUAGCGUGCAGGAAGACGGCCCUCCGGGUGGUAAACUGCUUUUAGUUGGGAAUAAAACGGGGCUCGUGAGCCCCCUUGCAUGUACCAUCAGAAAAAGGACCGGCUAAUUCCGUG